GGUUAAGCGACUAAGCGUACACGGUGGAUGCCCUGGCAGUCAGAGGCGAUGAAGGACGUGCUAAUCUGCGAUAAGCGCCGGUAAGGUGAUAUGAACCGUUAUAACCGGCGAUUUCCGAAUGGGGAAACCCAGUGUGACUCGUCACACUAUCAUUAACUGAAUCCAUAGGUUAAUGAGGCGAACCGGGGGAACUGAAACAUCUAAGUACCCCGAGGAAAAGAAAUCAACCGAGAUUCCCCCAGUAGCGGCGAGCGAACGGGGAGGAGCCCAGAGCCUGAAUCAGCAUGUGUGUUAGUGGAAGCGUCUGGAAAGGCGCGCGAUACAGGGUGACAGCCCCGUACACAAAAAGCGCAUGUGCUGUGAGCUCGAUGAGUAGGGCGGGACACGUGGUAUCCUGUCUGAAUAUGGAAAUUAUCCUCCAAGGCUAAAUACUCCUGACUGACCGAUAGUGAACCAGUACCGUGAGGGAAAGGCGAAAAGAACCCCGGCGAGGGGAGUGAAAAAGAACCUGAAACCGUGUACGUACAAGCAGUGGGAGCACAGGUUUACCUGUGUGACUGCGUACCUUUUGUAUAAUGGGUCAGCGACUUAUAUUCUGUAGCAAGGUUAACCGAAUAGGGGAGCCGGAGGGAAACCGAGUCUUAACCGGGCGUUAAGUUGCAGGGUAUAGACCCGAAACCCGGUGAUCUAGCCAUGGGCAGGUUGAAGGUUGGGUAACACUAACUGGAGGAAUGCGAACCGACUAAUGUUGAAAAAUUAGCGGAUGACCUGUGGCUGGGGGUGAAAGGCCAAUCAAACCGGGAGAUAGCUGGUUCUCCCCGAAAGCUAUUUAGGUAGCGCCUCGUGAAUUCAUCUCCGGGGGUAGAGCACUGUUUCGGCUAGGGGGCCAUCCCGGCUUACCAACCCGAUGCAAACUGCGAAUACCGGAGAAUGUUAUCACGGGAGACACACGGCGGGUGCUAACGUCCGUCGUGAAGAGGGAAACAACCCAGACCGCCAGCUAAGGUCCCAAAGUCAUGGUUAAGUGGGAAACGAUGUGGGAAGGCCCAGACAGCCAGGAUGUUGGCUUAGAAGCAGCCAUCAUUUAAAGAAAGCGUAAUAGCUCACUGGUCGAGUCGGCCUGCGCGGAAGAUGUAACGGGGCUAAACCAUGCACCGAAGCUGCGGCAGCGAACGUAUCACUUAAAGCGAUUCAGCGGGUUACGAUUGACGGAGCGAAGCGACGUCAAAGCGUAUACAAAGUCGAGUCGGUUUAAGGAUACGUUCGUUGGGUAGGGGAGCGUUCUGUAAGCCUGUGAAGGUGUGUCGUGAGGCAUGCUGGAGGUAUCAGAAGUGCGAAUGCUGACAUAAGUAACGAUAAAGCGGGUGAAAAGCCCGCUCGCCGGAAGACCAAGGGUUCCUGUCCAACGUUAAUCGGGGCAGGGUGAGUCGACCCCUAAGGCGAGGCCGAAAGGCGUAGUCGAUGGGAAACGGGUUAAUAUUCCCGUACUUGGUGUUACUGCGAAGGGGGGACGGAGAAGGCUAUGUUGGCCGGGCGACGGUUGUCCCGGUUUAAGCGUGUAGGUGUGUGUUCCAGGUAAAUCCGGUUCACUUUAACACUGAGGCGUGAUGACGAGGCACUACGGUGCUGAAGCAACAAAUGCCCUGCUUCCAGGAAAAGCCUCUAAGCAUCAGGUAACAUCAAAUCGUACCCCAAACCGACACAGGUGGUCAGGUAGAGAAUACCAAGGCGCUUGAGAGAACUCGGGUGAAGGAACUAGGCAAAAUGGUGCCGUAACUUCGGGAGAAGGCACGCUGACAUGUAGGUGAAGUGAUUUACUCAUGGAGCUGAAGUCAGUCGAAGAUACCAGCUGGCUGCAACUGUUUAUUAAAAACACAGCACUGUGCAAACACGAAAGUGGACGUAUACGGUGUGACGCCUGCCCGGUGCCGGAAGGUUAAUUGAUGGGGUCAGCGCAAGCGAAGCUCCUGAUCGAAGCCCCGGUAAACGGCGGCCGUAACUAUAACGGUCCUAAGGUAGCGAAAUUCCUUGUCGGGUAAGUUCCGACCUGCACGAAUGGCGUAAUGAUGGCCAGGCUGUCUCCACCCGAGACUCAGUGAAAUUGAACUCGCUGUGAAGAUGCAGUGUACCCGCGGCAAGACGGAAAGACCCCGUGAACCUUUACUAUAGCUUGACACUGAACAUUGAGCCUUGAUGUGUAGGAUAGGUGGGAGGCUUUGAAGCGUGGACGCCAGUCUGCGUGGAGCCGACCUUGAAAUACCACCCUUUAAUGUUUGAUGUUCUAACGUGGACCCGUAAUCCGGGUUGCGGACAGUGUCUGGUGGGUAGUUUGACUGGGGCGGUCUCCUCCUAAAGAGUAACGGAGGAGCACGAAGGUUGGCUAAUCCUGGUCGGACAUCAGGAGGUUAGUGCAAUGGCAUAAGCCAGCUUGACUGCGAGCGUGACGGCGCGAGCAGGUGCGAAAAGCAGGUCAUAGUGAUCCGGUGGUUCUGAAUGGAAGGGCCAUCGCUCAACGGAUAAAAGGUACUCCGGGGAUAACAGGCUGAUACCGCCCAAGAGUUCAUAUCGACGGCGGUGUUUGGCACCUCGAUGUCGGCUCAUCACAUCCUGGGGCUGAAGUAGGUCCCAAGGGUAUGGCUGUUCGCCAUUUAAAGUGGUACGCGAGCUGGGUUUAGAACGUCGUGAGACAGUUCGGUCCCUAUCUGCCGUGGGCGCUGGAGAACUGAGGGGGGCUGCUCCUAGUACGAGAGGACCGGAGUGGACGCAUCACUGGUGUUCGGGUUGUCAUGCCAAUGGCACUGCCCGGUAGCUAAAUGCGGAAGAGAUAAGUGCUGAAAGCAUCUAAGCACGAAACUUGCCCCGAGAUGAGUUCUCCCUGAGACUUAGAGUCUCCUGAAGGAACGUUGAAGACGACGACGUUGAUAGGCCGGGUGUGUAAGCGCAGCGAUGCGUUGAGCUAACCGGUACUAAUGAACCGUGAGGCUUAACCUU
RNAcentral lists this ribosomal RNA (2991 nucleotides) under Salmonella enterica subsp. enterica serovar Infantis. Its description in RNAcentral is "23S ribosomal RNA". It matches the Rfam family "Bacterial large subunit ribosomal RNA". Lineage: Bacteria; Pseudomonadati; Pseudomonadota; Gammaproteobacteria; Enterobacterales; Enterobacteriaceae. The record is from RNAcentral.